RNAcentral lists this unclassified non-coding RNA (282 nucleotides) under uncultured fungus. RNAcentral describes it as "sequence contains ITS1". The stretch from base 1 to 103 matches the Rfam family "5.8S ribosomal RNA", at positions 50 to 154 of the family's 154-position model. Lineage: Eukaryota; Fungi. The record is from RNAcentral.
GAAGUGCGAUAAGCAAUGCGAAUUGCAGAACCGUGAGUCAUCAGAUUUUUGAACGCAACUGGCGCCGGCUGGAACUCCAGUCGGCAUGCUUGUUUCAGUGUCUUGUUUUCUCCUCACCCAAACCUUAAUGCGAGAGAUACCCUUCUCUUGCCAAACAGGAAAGCACUCUGCGCUCUGCGAGCGACUUGGCUUCGGUCAUAGGUCGCACUCAAUGCAGCAGUCACAUUUUUCAAAUGUGACGACAGCAUUGAGCGCAGCUUCAAGAACGAGUCUACGAAGCUG